This 464-nucleotide ribosomal RNA is filed under the name uncultured bacterium. RNAcentral describes it as "partial 16S ribosomal RNA". It matches the Rfam family "Bacterial small subunit ribosomal RNA", at positions 28 to 507 of the family's 1533-position model. The record is from RNAcentral.
GACGAACGCUGGCGGCGUGCUUAACACAUGCAAGUCGAACGGAAAGGCCCUGCUUGCAGGGUACUCGAGUGGCGAACGGGUGAGUAACACGUGGGUGAUCUGCCCUGCACUUCGGGAUAAGCCUGGGAAACUGGGUCUAAUACCGGAUAGGAGCCAUUUUUAGUGUGAUGGUUGGAAAGUUUUUUCGGUGUAGGCUGAGCUCGCGGCCUAUCAGCUUGUUGGUGGGGUAAUGGCCUACCCAGGCGGCGACGGGUAGCCGGCCUGAGAGGGUGGACGGCCACAUUGGGUCUGAGAUACGGCCCAGACUCCUACGGGAGGCAGCAGUGGGGAAUAUUGCACAAUGGGCGCAAGCCUGAUGCAGCGACGCCGCGUGGGGGAUGACGGCCUUCGGGUUGUAAACUCCUUUCGCUAGGGACGAAGCUUUUGUGACGGUACCUAGAUAAGAAGCACCGGCUAACUACGUG